Molecule: ribosomal RNA, 398 nt
Filed under: uncultured bacterium
Lineage: Bacteria
Description: bacterial SSU rRNA
Rfam family: Bacterial small subunit ribosomal RNA
Source: RNAcentral
GGAAUAUUGGACAAUGGGCGAAAGCCUGAUCCAGCAAUGCCGCGUGAGUGAUGAAGGCCUUAGGGUUGUAAAGCUCUUUUACUAGGGAUGAUAAUGACAGUACCUAGAGAAUAAGCUCCGGUUAACUCCGUGCCAGCAGCCGCGGUAAUACGGAGGGAGCUAGCGUUGUUCGGAAUUACGGGGCGUAAAGCGCGCGUAGGCGGCUUUUUAAGUCAGGGGUGAAAUCCCGGAGCUCAACUCCGGAACUGCCCUUGAAACUGGGAAGCUAGAAUAUUGGAGAGGUAAGUGGAAUUCCGAGUGUAGAGGUGAAAUUCGUAGAUAUUCGGAAGAACACCAGUGGCGAAGGCGACUCACUGGACAAUUAUUGACGCUGAGGUGCGAAAGCGUGGGGAGCAAAC